ACUCCUACGGGAGGCAGCAGUGGGGAAUAUUGCACAAUGGGGGAAACCCUGAUGCAGCCAUGCCGCGUGUGUGAAGAAGGCCUUCGGGUUGUAAAGCACUUUCAGCGAGGAGGAAGGGUGUGUGCUAAUACCAUACAUCUGUGACGUUACUCGCAGAAGAAGCACCGGCUAACUCCGUGCCAGCAGCCGCGGUAAUACGGAGGGUGCGAGCGUUAAUCGGAAUUACUGGGCGUAAAGCGCACGUAGGCGGACUGGAAAGUUGGAGGUGAAAUCCCAGGGCUCAACCCUGGAACUGCCUUCAAAACUCCCAGUCUAGAGUUCGAGAGAGGUGAGUGGAAUUCCGAGUGUAGAGGUGAAAUUCGUAGAUAUUCGGAGGAACACCAGUGGCGAAGGCGGCUCACUGGCUCGAUACUGACGCUGAGGUGCGAAAGUGUGGGAGCAAACAGGAUUAGAUACCCUGGUAGCGA
Molecule: ribosomal RNA, 467 nt
Filed under: uncultured bacterium
Lineage: Bacteria
Description: bacterial SSU rRNA
Rfam family: Bacterial small subunit ribosomal RNA
Source: RNAcentral